RNAcentral lists this ribosomal RNA (428 nucleotides) under uncultured bacterium. RNAcentral describes it as "partial 16S ribosomal RNA". It matches the Rfam family "Bacterial small subunit ribosomal RNA", at positions 354 to 796 of the family's 1533-position model. The record is from RNAcentral.
GUGGGGAAUAUUGGGCAAUGGGCGAAAGCCUGACCCAGCAACGCCGCGUGAGGGAAGAAGGCCUUCGGGUUGUAAACCUCUGUCCUUGGUGACGAAAAAAAUGACGGUAGCCAAGGAGGAAGCCCCGGCUAACUACGUGCCAGCAGCCGCGGUAAUACGUAGGGGGCGAGCGUUGUCCGGAAUUACUGGGCGUAAAGCGCGCGUAGGCGGUCCAUUAAGUGUGCGGUGAAAUUCGGAGGCUCAACCUCCGUCCCGCCGCGCAAACUGAUGGUCUUGAGAUUGGGAGGGGGAUGCGGAAUUCCUGGUGUAGCGGUGAAAUGCAUUGAUAUCAGGAGGAACACCGGCGGCGAAAGCGGCAUCCUGGCUUAUAUCUGACGCUGAGGCGCGAAAGCGUGGGUAGCAAACGGGAUUAGAUACCCCAGUAGUCC